RNAcentral lists this ribosomal RNA (497 nucleotides) under uncultured bacterium. RNAcentral's name for it is "partial 16S ribosomal RNA". It matches the Rfam family "Bacterial small subunit ribosomal RNA", at positions 28 to 507 of the family's 1533-position model. The record is from RNAcentral.
GAUGAACGCUGGCGGCGUGCCUAAUACAUGCAAGUCGAGCGAACGGACGAGAAGCUUGCUUCUCUGAUGUUAGCGGCGGACGGGUGAGUAACACGUGGAUAACCUACCUAUAAGACUGGGAUAACUUCGGGAAACCGGAGCUAAUACCGGAUAAUAUUUUGAACCGCAUGGUUCAAAAGUGAAAGACGGUCUUGCUGUCACUUAUAGAUGGAUCCGCGCUGCAUUAGCUAGUUGGUAAGGUAACGGCUUACCAAGGCAACGAUGCAUAGCCGACCUGAGAGGGUGAUCGGCCACACUGGAACUGAGACACGGUCCAGACUCCUACGGGUGGCAGCAGUAGGGAAUCUUCCGCAAUGGGCGAAAGCCUGACGGAGCAACGCCGCGUGAGUGAUGAAGGUCUUCGGAUCGUAAAACUCUGUUAUUAGGGAGGAACAUAUGUGUAAGUAACUGUGCACAUCUUGACGGUACCUAAUCAGAAAGCCACGGCUAACUACGUG